GGUUCCGUGGUGUAGGGGUUAACAUGCCUGCCUGUCACGCAGGAGAUCGCGGGUUCAAAUCCCGUCCGGACCG
This 73-nucleotide transfer RNA is filed under the name Aerococcus urinaeequi. RNAcentral's name for it is "tRNA-Asp". It matches the Rfam family "tRNA". From Rfam's summary of the family: Transfer RNA (tRNA) molecules are approximately 80 nucleotides in length. Lineage: Bacteria; Bacillati; Bacillota; Bacilli; Lactobacillales; Aerococcaceae. The record is from RNAcentral.